GACGAACCGUGCGAACGUUAUUCGGAAUCAUUGGGCUUAAAGGGCGCGUAGGCGGCGGUGUAAGUUGGAAGUGAAAUCCCAUCGGCUCAACCGUGGAAUAGCUCCCAGUACUGCAUCGCUCGAGGGGGAUAGGGGUCUGCGGAACUACCGGUGGAGCGGUGAAAUGUGUUGAUAUCGGUGGGAACGCCAGUGGCGAAAGCGGCAGACUUGACCCUUCCUGACGCUGAGGCGCGAAAGCGUGGGGAGCAAACAGG
Molecule: ribosomal RNA, 254 nt
Filed under: uncultured bacterium
Lineage: Bacteria
Description: partial 16S ribosomal RNA
Rfam family: Bacterial small subunit ribosomal RNA
Source: RNAcentral